UAGAGCUUUUAGAUAGAGUGGUUCAAUAUAGUUCAAUAUACUAACCGAGUAAAAAUUCAAAACUUUCAUGAAAAUUGUGCAUCUUAUAUUGAACACAAUCCAUAUACCCAUAGCUCGGCUAUAUAUAGCUUACGGUUUAAAUGAGGCGGUUAAAUCAAUAAUUUCAUAUAUCGAUAACUGUUCUAUGUAAAGAUUAAAGUUUUAAAUGAGAUGAAUCAGCAAAAAUAAUUUUAUAAAACCGUAACUCGUCUAUAUAGAGGCAAUUGAUAGACAUAAGCAACGUGUCUGUGAUUUACAGGAUCAAGGUAUUCUCUUUAUAGAAAUAUGGUUGAUAAUAUAGAGUCAAGUUCUGAAAGGUUCAAAUACAAUAUUUAUGCAGCUGAUGCUAGUAUUCAUGACUCAGUAGAGGAGGAUCAAGGCACCAUUAAGGAGCAAGAUCGGUUGCUACCUAUAGCUAAUGUCAGCCGGAUAAUGAAGCAGAUCCUUCCUCCAAACGCGAAAAUCUCUAAAGAAGCUAAAGAAACCAUGCAAGAAUGUGUAUCAGAAUUCAUUAGCUUUGUUACUGGAGAAGCAUCUGAUAAAUGCCACAAGGAGAAGAGGAAAACAGUUAAUGGAGAUGACAUUUGUUGGGCUUUGGGAAGUUUAGGAUUUGAUGAUUAUGCAGAAUCACUCAGGAGGUAUUUGCAUAAGCAUAGGGAAGCAGAAGGAGAUAGGGCUAAUCAGAACAAAUCUUCAAACAAUGAAGAAAGGGAUUGAUAUAGUUCAAAACUUGAAGUGAAACCACUGUGAGGAAGCCUUCAGUCCCCACCCCACCUCACCCCACACCCAUCCAACGUCAGUGUAUUAUGAAUAGAAGAAUGCACCAAACUAAUAUAUUAGGUUAGGGGAUUUGUGCUUACCCCUUGGUUGAACUUUGAUGCAAAAUUUAUACUGUGGGAUUUUUACUGUUCUUUGCUUCUUUUUUGGUCCAGAAAUCUUGAAGGGAGUUCAGAUCUAUGACUCCAGAAAUUGCCUGUUUUUCUUACAAAUUUUAACUUUUGAUUACCUUAACCUGGAAACUAAUAAACCCUUGUGUUUCUGCAAUAAUUAGGCUAGUGAUUUUUGGGUUUGAUGUAAUAAGCUUGCAGUCUACAGAUAAUUGUGGGAUCUAUAUUCUUUAUGUUUCACUACAAUAAUUAAUUUCAAAUUAGGGUUUAUGUAUUACUGUUCUUGUCUAAUUUUAUCUGUAUAGUAUACUCUAUUGGCGUUUUGAUUCAAUUAAAGGCAACAGGAAUUAUGCUGAAGGUGGUAUCUUUGGUCAAGCUUGAUCAUGAUCGGGAGAUCGAUCUAGAAUAAAAGUAAGAUCUCUUUGUCUUCUUCCAUUAUUCCAAUAAUAUAAAUAAAUCUUGAUAUUUGCUUAUAUUAUAUAUGUAUCAUGUUUGUGUAUGGAUUAAUUAUUGUACAUUCAUAUAAGUGGACAGUUAAUAUAUAUGAUUGUCAGGGCUUGCAUGUAACUACUUGUAUUGGCUUUUUACCUGUUCUUAUUUGGUAAGUUAAUUGAAUUAUUUAAGUUGUUCUUGCAUAUUGAAUUGAUGUUGAAAAUCAUUUUGAUAGGGUGAUUAAAGAUAUGAACAUAUAAAUUCAGGGAUUGUGUUCAACUACUGUUGAAUUCAAACAUACAAAAGACACCUAGUGAAAUGCCCGGCGGCUGCUCCUUUAGAUAUUUUCAAUAUUUCCACAGUUUAGAUCCUAACUUAAUUGGACGCAAGAAAGAUUGUUUAAGCAUAUAUGAUUAAAUAUAUAUGAGAUCAAGUGUGCACACACCUGGUGUGUGAUUCAUAGGUGCGUACAAUUUGUCAUUCAUAUUUUGCGCGUAAAAAUGUUUGAAAUUCGAUCUAAAAAAAAGGGAUUCGAUUCACUUAAAGCAUAUAUAAAGGUUAUUACUGUUUGAACUAGUUAGAUAGGUUACAAUUUUUUUGAGAUAGGUUAUGAAAUAGAGUUAUGGCAGUACAAAAAUUCCUCAAAAGGAACAAGAAAUUUCCUGUUUGAAACCCUAGAUACCAGAAACAGGAUUUUGUUGGUCUAGAAAUGCUUGGUUUGUCGUGAGAAUUUUUUUUUUUUUUUUAAAUAAUUUCCCUAUCAACUUCUUGUAUAUAUAUAUAUUCUCAAAGUGGACUAAGCAAUUAAUCAUAUACCCAUUCCACAAGUGUGGAUGUUGACUCCAUUGUCUUGGAAAAUGAUAGCCUUAGUUUGAGGAUAUUUUCAUCAAAUAAUUGACUAAGAAAGGAAUAAUAUACAUCAUAAUCGAUUUCAUUUCAUAUCCUUUAUCUGAAGUCUACAUGGUUGUCUUGUUAUAACACGAUCAAUGUGCAGGAUAAUUUUUAUUUUAUUUUUUUGUUAAGUUAAUUAAUAAACAAAUAAAUUGGCAUAUAUGUGUUAGAAACAGAUAUUACCUUUUCAUGUUAAUAUUGGUCUAGUAAUUUAAUUAGAUGUCAUAAGAGGCUCUAAUACUUAGCUGAAUUAUGUAUAAAAAUUUGAAGAAAAGAAUAAGACCUCACUGAAGGAGACAUGGUGGAGUAAGAGCAGCUAAUUUUGUACAUUAGAAGAGCAUACUAUUACUUAAUAAUAUAUAUAUUCAAGAUUUUGGUAUCUAAGCUGAUCCCGAUCGGCGUGUCAACCGAGAGAAAAUCGAGUAAAUUCGGUUUAAACUCUUUUAUUUUCGUUGAAGCUUCCUUGGUUUGAGGGCUUAAUUGAUUGGACACCUAAGAACCAUAAUUUUUCAUACAAACUGCUUCUACAAUGAUAGAUAGGGAUCAGGUUUGUUUGGCAUCUAUGCCACCUACCCUCCAAAUAGUCUGGGAGCCUUUCAGCUUGUACUGCUCACAUCUAACUCUUGCAACACAAUCUGUUGAACCUUUUUUUUUUUUUUCAGGUGGAAACCAUAUCAAUUGUUACCUAGUAAUUAAAAGAUGUAAAUAAUUAAAACGAAAGAUUAGGGAGGGCUAGAAUUGAAACUACUUCAUAAUUAUAAAUUGAAAAUUAAUUAAUUUAUGAGGGUCAAGGGCAUAAACUUGACCUCCAAUACAAGAAAAAAUAUGGACAAAUGCAGUAUUAACAUGAUUAAACCUACUUGUAGUCAGUGUUCUAAAAAUCGUGUAAUGACAUCGUCUAGGUGAGGUACUUUCGAAAUUCCACAUAUGAGCAAGGCUUGAAAAAUUGCACUCAACUCCUUUUUGAAGGCCUAUUGCGGACUAAACAAGCUUAGGCACCAAAAGGCGUGUGAUUUUUAUUUUUUUUAAAUAAAAAUAAAAAUCCAAUUAUUUCUUCUUGGACUGAAUAACCUACUUGGAAUUAGGCACUAAAUUAGUAUGGACGACUUCUUGGCUCCUAAAAGGGAUCUUCUGCUUUCAAUUUUCAAUUAUCUAAUCCUUGGAAACUUAGAGAAUGUCCAGUUUAGAUGAUCAAGUAAUUAUAUAUUUAUAAUUUAUUUGUUUUCAUUGAACUAAAUUUAAUUAUUAAUGAGUAACUAAAAAUAUUAAAAAGUGUUUUGAUAUGCCUAAUCUUCAUAUAGGAACGUUGGUUUGUAAGACUUGAGAUUGGUGUUGCUAUCUUGACACGCUUAACGCCUUUUAAAGCACUACUUCUAGGAUAAGAAUGGUAACUAGAUAGUCAUUACUAUCUAGUGAUGGCAUUGGGCGGGACGACGGCUAGCCCCGUUAGCCGUCCCGUUUAUUUUAUUAUUAUUAUUUUAUUCUUUCUCUUCACGGGGCAGGGCAUCCGUGCCCCACCUCGACAUAGAUUUUUGGAAGACGGAGAGAUCAGGGCAAGAUGGGGUUAAAAAAUCUCAUUUACCAUCCCGUUUAAUUUUUUUUAUUUUUAAAAAUUCUAUUAUUUGAAUUGAAAAGGAUAAAAAUAAUUUUUUUUAAAAAAAAUUACUAUGUUCCCCAUCCUCGCUCCAUUAAACAUUUUGUGGUUGAGAUUUCCCACCUUUCAAUGUCCAGAACGGGAGCGAAAACAUUGUAAUAGAAAUCUAUAAGUAAUUUAGAUUUGUCAAGAAUAACAAACCAAUAGGUAUUUGGGUACUAAUUGUAAAAUCUUUGCUACAUAACUAAAAGGGUAAAUUCCUUUUAAAAUCUCCAACUUUUAACAAGUGUGACAGCCAUAUUUUCAAAUCUUUUAUUAUAGAACCCAUUGAAAUUGUUAUCCUACUCACAAUAUGCUUACGAUAGGUAGGAUAAAGCUGCUCAUUUGUUAAUGUGAUACGAGAACCUUACUUAUGGUUCUCUCCAAACGUGAGAACCAUAAGCAAGGUUCUCUUCAAUGUGGGUGAGAUAAGGCUUCCCAAUGUGGUUAAGAGAACAUGAGUGUAGAACCCAUAUCCUCAAUCUUUUAACAUUGUGUACCCGUGUUUAUUUGUUUAUUAAAGGGAAAUUUGCAAAAAUAGUCCGUAAUCUUCGGAGUUGCUUCAUUUUUCUAUAUCGUUUCUAUCCGAUUGACCAUUAAAAUGUCAAAAUUUUGAUAUAAAGACUAAAAUAGGUUACUUUAGUUAAAUAAAAUAAUUAAAAAUUAUGACACAAAAAGAAAAAUUACCUCAUCCUAUCAACCAAUCCCCAAUCAAAGCAUCUCCAAUGCAAUCGUAGAUUGUAUAAAAAGUUGUGUAAUAUAUGCAAAAGAGAAUGUGUUUGAAAAAUUUAUGCUAGUCAAUAGGAAAUUCAUCAAAAUGAUGUAGCAAAUAAAAAUAGAUCUUUUCUAGAGCCCCAUCUAUACAGAAGCUAUGUUAAAUGUGCUAACUCAACAAAAUUCAUAUUUCACAUGCA
Molecule: long non-coding RNA, 4796 nt
Filed under: Olea europaea subsp. europaea
Lineage: Eukaryota; Viridiplantae; Streptophyta; Magnoliopsida; Lamiales; Oleaceae
Source: RNAcentral